GAUGAACGCUGGCGGCGUGCUUAACACAUGCAAGUCGAACGAAGCACUUAUCUUUGAUUCUUCGGAUGAAGAGGUUUGUGACUGAGUGGCGGACGGGCGAGUAACGCGUGGGUAACCUGCCUCAUACAGGGGGAUAACAGUUAGAAAUGACUGCUAAUACCGCAUAAGACCACGGAGCCGCAUGGCUCAGUGGGAAAAACUCCGGUGGUAUGAGAUGGACCCGCGUCUGAUUAGGUAGUUGGUGGGGUAACGGCCUACCAAGCCAACGAUCAGUAGCCGACCUGAGAGGGUGACCGGCCACAUUGGGACUGAGACACGGCCCAAACUCCUACGGGAGGCAGCAGUGGGGAAUAUUGCACAAUGGGGGAAACCCUGAUGCAGCGACGCCGCGUGAGCGAAGAAGUAUUUCGGUAUGUAAAGCUCUAUCAGCAGGGAAGAAAAUGACGGUAC
RNAcentral lists this ribosomal RNA (450 nucleotides) under uncultured bacterium. RNAcentral's name for it is "bacterial SSU rRNA". It matches the Rfam family "Bacterial small subunit ribosomal RNA", at positions 28 to 478 of the family's 1533-position model. The record is from RNAcentral.